Molecule: non-coding RNA, 93 nt
Organism: Cryptococcus depauperatus CBS 7841
Lineage: Eukaryota; Fungi; Basidiomycota; Tremellomycetes; Tremellales; Cryptococcaceae
Source: Rfam
AUCUCAUUGGCUCAGUUGGUUAGAGUGUUCGCUUCACACUUGAAUUGUUCAGUGUUUCGCGAAAGGUCCUGGGUUCGAUCCCCAGAUGGGAUA